This 377-nucleotide ribosomal RNA is filed under the name uncultured microorganism. RNAcentral's name for it is "bacterial SSU rRNA". It matches the Rfam family "Archaeal small subunit ribosomal RNA", at positions 330 to 713 of the family's 1478-position model. The record is from RNAcentral.
GUGCAGCAGGCGCGAAAACUUUACAAUGUGCGAAAGCACGAUAAGGGAACUCUGAGUGCCUCCUAAGGAGGCUGUUCAGGUGUCUAAAAAGCACCUGAAGGAAGGGCUGGGUAAGACCGGUGCCAGCCGCCGCGGUAACACCGGCAGCCCAAGUGGUAGCCACGUUUAUUGGGUCUAAAGCGUCCGUAGCCGGCUGGGUAAGUUCCUUGGGAAAUUUGGCUGCUUAACAGUCAAGCUUUCAGGGAAUACUGCUCGGCUUGGGACCGGGAGAGGUCAGAGGUACUCCAGGGGUAGGGUGAAAUCCAUUAAUCCUUGGGGGACCACCGGCAGCGAAGGCGUCUGACCAGACCGGGUCCGACGGUGAGGGACGAAGGCUA